UCUAUUAUCCCACCUCUCUCCUCUCCCAAGGUGCUCAGGAGGAGGAAUGACCCAGCGAAGAACAGGGCCGCGAUAUCAGAAAGCAUACCACAGAUAACUAUUUCAAAGGAAUUGAGAAAGGUCAACUAAGUGCCAUUAUGAAGCCUGUCAUGUUGAGAAGCUGCCAGCCUCUGUGGUGAUACCAGAGCUAAAGUACUAAGAUUAAAGGAGCCACACAAAUGACGUCAGCCCUGGAAGGAAGAAUGAAGAAGGAAAUUGAGGCAUUCUGGGCAAUGCAAGGCACUCCAGGACUGAGAGAGGCAAGCAGACCCAUUCUGGGACCCGGGAGGCCUAGGCUUUGAUUGACAUUCUCCUUUAGCUGCAGAUGCUGCCCAGCUCUAAUCUCAUCUUGGUCUGUGUAGGAAAGGCACAAAGUUGCUUCUCUGCUCUUCACUCACUAUCCUCAUCUCUGUUCUUCAUAUCAUUUUCACCUCUCUUGCUUGUCUUCACAUUUUGUUCAUUUAUAGGGAAAGAGGAAUCGUAUUAGAAAAACAUAUGGAAAAAUAAACAAUUUUCCUUCCCAGUGA
This is a long non-coding RNA of Eptesicus fuscus (big brown bat), 566 nucleotides long. RefSeq lists it as uncharacterized. Lineage: Eukaryota; Metazoa; Chordata; Mammalia; Chiroptera; Vespertilionidae. The transcript is spliced from 3 exons. The record is from RefSeq and is a predicted model, not a curated record.